UGGGGAAUAUUGCACAAUGGGGGAAACCCUGAUGCAGCGACGCCGCGUGAGCGAAGAAGUAUUUCGGUAUGUAAAGCUCUAUCAGCAGGGAAGAAAAUGACGGUACCUGACUAAGAAGCAUCGGCUAACUCCGUGCCAGCAGCCGCGGUAAUACGGAGGAUGCGAGCGUUAUCCGGAUUUAUUGGGUUUAAAGGGUGCGUAGGCGGACUUUCAAGUCAGCGGUAAAAUUUCCGGGCUUAACCUGGUUGUGCCGUUGAAACUGAGAGACUGGAGUGCGCUUGAGGUAGGCGGAAUGCGUUGUGUAGCGGUGAAAUGCAUAGAUAUGACGCAGAACUCCGAUUGCGAAGGCAG
This 351-nucleotide ribosomal RNA is filed under the name uncultured Anaerostipes sp. RNAcentral describes it as "bacterial SSU rRNA". It matches the Rfam family "Bacterial small subunit ribosomal RNA", at positions 355 to 724 of the family's 1533-position model. Lineage: Bacteria; Bacillati; Bacillota; Clostridia; Lachnospirales; Lachnospiraceae. The record is from RNAcentral.